Molecule: ribosomal RNA, 74 nt
Filed under: Piptochaetium virescens
Lineage: Eukaryota; Viridiplantae; Streptophyta; Magnoliopsida; Poales; Poaceae
Description: 5.8S ribosomal RNA
Rfam family: 5.8S ribosomal RNA
About the family: 5.8S ribosomal RNA (5.8S rRNA) is a component of the large subunit of the eukaryotic ribosome. It is transcribed by RNA polymerase I as part of the 45S precursor that also contains 18S and 28S rRNA.
Source: RNAcentral
CGUGAACCAUCGAGUCUUUGAACGCAAGUUGCGCCCGAAGCCACCCGGCUGAGGGCMCGCCUGCCUGGGCGUCA